Molecule: ribosomal RNA, 252 nt
Filed under: uncultured bacterium
Lineage: Bacteria
Description: partial 16S ribosomal RNA
Rfam family: Bacterial small subunit ribosomal RNA
Source: RNAcentral
UACGGAGGAUGCGAGCGUUAUCCGGAUUUAUUGGGUUUAAAGGGUGCGUAGGCGGGAUGCCAAGUCAGCGGUAAAAAUGCGGUGCUCAACGCCGUUGAGCCGUUGAAACUGGCGUUCUUGAGUGGGCGAGAAGUAUGCGGAAUGCGUGGUGUAGCGGUGAAAUGCAUAGAUAUCACGCAGAACUCCGAUUGCGAAGGCAGCAUACCGGCGCCCUACUGACGCUGAGGCACGAAAGCGUGGGGAGCAAACAGG